RNAcentral lists this ribosomal RNA (465 nucleotides) under uncultured bacterium. Its description in RNAcentral is "partial 16S ribosomal RNA". It matches the Rfam family "Bacterial small subunit ribosomal RNA", at positions 28 to 507 of the family's 1533-position model. The record is from RNAcentral.
GACGAACGCUGGCGGCGUGCUUAACACAUGCAAGUCGAACGGAAAGGCCCUGCUUGCAGGGUACUCGAGUGGCGAACGGGUGAGUAACACGUGGGUGAUCUGCCCUGCACUUCGGGAUAAGCCUGGGCAACUGGGUCUAAUACCGGAUAGGAGCCACUUUUAGUGUGAUGGUUGGAAAGUUUUUUCGGUGUAGGAUGAGCUCGCGGCCUAUCAGCUUGUUGGUGGGGUAAUGGCCUACCAAGGCGGCGACGGGUAGCCGGCCUGAGAGGGUGGGCGGCCACAUUGGGACUGAGAUGCGGCCCAGACGCCUACGGGAGGCAGCAGUGGGGAAGAUUGCACAAUGGGCGCAAGCCUGAUGCAGCGACGCCGCGUGGGGGAUGACGGCCUUCGGGUUGAAAACUCCUUUCGCUAGGGACGAAGCUUUUUGUGACGGUACCUAGAGAAGAAGCACCGGCUAACUACGUG